RNAcentral lists this long non-coding RNA (1067 nucleotides) under Oryctolagus cuniculus (rabbit). RNAcentral describes it as "lncRNA (ENSOCUG00000035785.1)". The record is from RNAcentral. Lineage: Eukaryota; Metazoa; Chordata; Mammalia; Lagomorpha; Leporidae.
AAUACUUUGUACCUGUCUUGCCUCAGAAGAGCUUUGAGUUUGAUUGAAUGAAUCGCCCGCCUGAACCGCCUGAACCUGGCGCACCCAAGUUUCCAUGAAGUCUUCCUGCAGAGCAUCAUUGAAAGGCAGCCUUGUUUGUUCGCAAGAUCCAGUGAUGGUUUCCAUGUUAUGCACAUAAACACCUUGUCAGGCACCAGAGACAGUUUCCAUUGAUGAUUUGACUUUCCUUCAAUGACUCACACAGCUGUUACACUGUCCUGGAACCACUUCAGGCUGAGCCAAAGGCUUGUCAAGUGCCUCAGGCCAUGUGGGGAACAGGGAAGGAUAGAACUGAAGGUGAGUGACGAAGGGGCUGUGGAGGAGCUUAUAAAUCUGCUAUUAAAAACCUGCAAAACCUUUUCUGGAAAGAAAGCACUUGAAUUUAAGGAGAGAGUAUUAUUUCUUGUAAGGUAUUUUUGUUUUAUUUUUGUCUUGUUUGCAGUAAUCGGGAGAUACUUUCAAAAAUCUCCAAAAAAUUGGCCGGCGCCGCGGCUCACUAGGCUAAUCCUCCGCCUAGCGGCGCCGGCACACCGGGUUCUAGUCCCGGUCGGGGCGCCGGAUUCUGUCCCGGUUGCCCCUCUUCCAGGCCAGCUCUCUGCUGUGGCCAGGGAGUGCAGUGGAGGAUGGCCCAGGUGCUUGGGCCCUGCACCCCAUGGGAGACCAGGAAAAGCACCUGGCUCCUGGCUCCUGCCAUCGGAUCAGCGCGGUGCGCCGGCCGCAGCGCGCUGGCCGCGGCGGCCAUUGGAGGGUGAACCAACGGCAAAAGGAAGACCUUUCUCUCUGUCUCUCUCUCUCUCACUGUCCACUCUGCCUGUCAAAAAAAAAAAAAAAAAAAAUCUCCAAAAAAUGAAAGCUCUGUAGUUUCAGGCCUAGUCGAGGUUAGGGAUGCCAAGCUGACAUUGUGCUGAUCCACGACCAAGGCUGAUGACAUAUCCUGGCAAAGGCGUGAACAGUGGAAUGAGAAAACGCUAAAUGUCUGCAAUCAUAUAGUCAAUAAAACAUAAAAUUAUGAAGAUAUUUUAAUUAUU